UACGGGGGGGGCAAGCGUUGUUCGGAAUUACUGGGCGUAAAGGGUUUGUAGGUGGCUUGUUAAGUCAGACGUGAAAUCCCUCAGCUUAACUGGGGAACUGCGUCUGAUACUGGCGAGCUUGAGUGCAGGAGAGGAACGCGGAAUUCCAGGUGUAGCGGUGAAAUGCGUAGAUAUCAGGAGGAACACCGGCGGCGAAGGCGGCCCUCUGGAUCGUUGCUGACGCUGAUACGCGAAAGCGUGGGGAGCAAACAGG
Molecule: ribosomal RNA, 253 nt
Filed under: uncultured bacterium
Lineage: Bacteria
Description: partial 16S ribosomal RNA
Rfam family: Bacterial small subunit ribosomal RNA
Source: RNAcentral